RNAcentral lists this ribosomal RNA (252 nucleotides) under uncultured bacterium. Its description in RNAcentral is "partial 16S ribosomal RNA". It matches the Rfam family "Bacterial small subunit ribosomal RNA", at positions 524 to 776 of the family's 1533-position model. The record is from RNAcentral.
UACAGAGGGGCAAGCGUUAUUCGGAAUUAUUGGGCGUAAAGGGCUCGUAGGCGGCCAACUAAGUCAGACGUGAAAUCCCCAGGCUCAACCUGGGAACUGCGUCUGAUACUGGAUGGCUUGAAUUCGGGAGAGGGAUGCAGAAUUCCAGGUGUAGCGGUGAAAUGCGUAGAUAUCUGGAGGAAUACCGGUGGCGAAGGCGGCAUCCUGGACCGACAUUGACGCUGAGGAGCGAAAGCUAGGGGAGCAAACGGG